GAUGAACGCUGGCGGCGUGCCUAAUACAUGCAAGUCGAGCGAACAGACGCGGCGCUUGCUGCUUUGACGUUAGCGGCGGACGGGUGUGUAACACGUGGAUAACCUACUUAUAAGUCGGGGAUAACUUCGGGAAUCCGGCGCUAAUACCGGAUAAUAUCUUGAACCGCAGGGUUCAAUGGUGAAAGUCGGCUUUGCUGGCACUUCUCGCUGGAUCCGGGCCGCAUUAGCUAGUUGGUACGGUAACGGCUUACCAAGGCAACGAUGCGUAGCCGACCUGAGAGGGUGAUCGGCCACACUGGAGCUGGGACACGGUCCAGACUCCUGCGGUAGGCAGCAGUAGGGAAUCGUCCGCAGUGGGCGGAAGCCUGACGGAGCGGCGCGGCGUGAGUGAUGACGGUCUUCCGAUCGUAAUACUCUCUUAUUGGUGGAAAACAGAUGUGUCAGUUGCUGUACACGUCUUGACGGUACCUGAUCAGAAAGCACCGGCUAACUACGUG
RNAcentral lists this ribosomal RNA (497 nucleotides) under uncultured bacterium. Its description in RNAcentral is "partial 16S ribosomal RNA". It matches the Rfam family "Bacterial small subunit ribosomal RNA", at positions 28 to 507 of the family's 1533-position model. The record is from RNAcentral.